Molecule: ribosomal RNA, 480 nt
Filed under: uncultured bacterium
Lineage: Bacteria
Description: bacterial SSU rRNA
Rfam family: Bacterial small subunit ribosomal RNA
Source: RNAcentral
GACGAACGCUGGCGGCGUGCUUAACACAUGCAAGUCGAACGGUAAGGCCUUUCGGGGUACACGAGUGGCGAACGGGUGAGUAACACGUGGGUGAUCUGCCCUGCACUUUGGGAUAAGCCUGGGAAACUGGGUCUAAUACCGAAUAGGACCAUGGACUUCACGGUUUGUGGUGGAAAGCUUUUGCGGUGUGGGAUGGGCCCGCGGCCUAUCAGCUUGUUGGUGGGGUAAUGGCCUACCAAGGCGACGACGGGUAGCCGGCCUGAGAGGGUGACCGGCCACACUGGGACUGAGAUACGGCCCAGACUCCUACGGGAGGCAGCAGUGGGGAAUAUUGCACAAUGGGCGCAAGCCUGAUGCAGCGACGCCGCGUGAGGGAUGACGGCCUCGGGUUGUAAACCUCUUUCUAGCACAGACGAAGCGCAAGUGACGGUAUGUGCAGAAGAAGGACCGGCCGAACUACGUGCCAGCAGCCGCGGUAAU